This 715-nucleotide long non-coding RNA is filed under the name Monodelphis domestica (gray short-tailed opossum). Its description in RNAcentral is "lncRNA (ENSMODG00000050327.1)". The record is from RNAcentral. Lineage: Eukaryota; Metazoa; Chordata; Mammalia; Didelphimorphia; Didelphidae.
CUGGGAGGGGCCAUUUCCUGCCUCUACCUUUAUAUAGAAGAACUCUACCCAACUGAAAUCAGACAGAUGGGCCUGAGUGCUGGUCUAUUUAGUAUACGCUUUGGCGCAUUUCUAUCUCCCAUGGUCUUCAUUGGGGGCAGCUACUUCCCUAUUCUGCAGCCCUUGUUGUUUGGGAUGGUCCCCAUCGUUUCCGCAGCUUCUGCCUGCUUCUUGACUGAGACUCGUGGCCUCCCACUUCUGGACACCAUCCAGGAGGCAGAGAACAGGAUGAAGAGGUCUUGCUCUUUGAAAAGAAAUUCCAGAAAAGAGGAAUGGGAAAGACCAGCUUUGCUUCAUCCUGAAAUGGUACAAUCUGAAAGCACAGUAUAAUGCUUUCUUUAAGACUUUGGUUCAACUCCCGAAGGACUUAUUGGAAAGAAUGCUAACCAUAUCGAGAGAAGGAACUAUGGGAGUAGAAAUGCAAAAGAAGAACGUAUGACAUUACUUAUCGCAUGUAUAUAUGGGGAUGUGAUUUGGGGUUUAGGCUUUAAAAGAUGGCUCUAUAGCAAAAAGGAAUAAUAUGGAAAUCGGUAUCAAGUAAUAACAAUUGUACAACCCAGCAGAUUUGCUCAUUGGCUCUGGGAGUGGGUAGGGAAGAGGGGAGGGAAAGAAAAUGAAUCAUGGAAACAUGGAAAAAUAUUUAAAAAUAAAAAAUAAAAAAGAAUACUUUGGUUCA